UGCCCCAUGGCUGAGUUGGUUACAGCGUCCGACUGUUAUAAUUACCUAACUAUCGGAAGGUCAUGAGUUCGAGCCUCAUUGGGGCAG
Non-coding RNA from Panus rudis PR-1116 ss-1, 87 nucleotides. The record is from the annotation of a GenBank genome assembly. Lineage: Eukaryota; Fungi; Basidiomycota; Agaricomycetes; Polyporales; Panaceae.